This 465-nucleotide ribosomal RNA is filed under the name uncultured bacterium. RNAcentral's name for it is "partial 16S ribosomal RNA". It matches the Rfam family "Bacterial small subunit ribosomal RNA", at positions 28 to 507 of the family's 1533-position model. The record is from RNAcentral.
GACGAACGCUGGCAGCGUGCUUAACACAUGCAAGUCGAACGAUAAGGCCCCUUCGGGGGUACACGAGUGGCGAACGGGUGAGUAACACGUGAGCAACCUGCCCUUGACUCUGGAAUAACAGUUGGAAACAGCUGCUAAUACUGGAUAUUCAUCGUCUCCUUCCUGGGGGGUGGUGGAAAGCUCCGGCGGUCAGGGAUGGGCUCGCGGCCUAUCAGCUUGUUGGUGAGGUAAUGGCUCACCAAGGCUUCGACGGGUAGCCGGCCUGAGAGGGCGACCGGCCACACUGGGACUGAGAUACGGCCCAGACUCCUACGGGAGGCAGCAGUGGGGAAUAUUGCACAAUGGGCGCAAGCCUGAUGCAGCAACGCCGCGUGCGGGAUGACGGCCUUCGGGUUGUAAACCGCUUUCAGUAGGGACGAAGGGUGACUGACGGUACCUACAGAAGAAGGACCGGCUAACUACGUG